AUUAGAUAAUGACGGUACCCGCAGAAGAAGCCCCGGCUAACUCCGUGCCAGCAGCCGCGGUAAUACGGAGGGUGCAAGCGUUGUUCGGAAUUAUUGGGCGUAAAGCGCGUGUAGGCGGUCUGUUAAGUCUGGUGUGAAAGCCCUGGGCUCAACCCAGGAAGUGCAUUGGAUACUGGCAGACUUGAGUAUGGGAGAGGAAAGCGGAAUUCCGAGUGUAGGAGUGAAAUCCGUAGAUAUUCGGAGGAACACCAGUGGCGAAG
RNAcentral lists this ribosomal RNA (260 nucleotides) under uncultured bacterium. RNAcentral describes it as "partial 16S ribosomal RNA". It matches the Rfam family "Bacterial small subunit ribosomal RNA", at positions 461 to 720 of the family's 1533-position model. The record is from RNAcentral.